Hibiscus syriacus is the source of this 184-nucleotide long non-coding RNA. RefSeq lists it as uncharacterized. The record is from RefSeq and is a predicted model, not a curated record. The transcript has 4 exons. Lineage: Eukaryota; Viridiplantae; Streptophyta; Magnoliopsida; Malvales; Malvaceae.
UUGCAAGUGCUCUUACAGCUAGAUUAAACGACGGAGUCCCGUUGGUCGAUGAGUUCGUUGUUCUCCUCGGUUACUGUUUAUUCACAGGAUCACUCUACUUUCACUUCACCACAUCUGUUAUUCGCGAAAUUACGACGGCUUUGGGAAUUUAUUGCUUCAGGAUAACUCGGAAAGAAGCUUAAAC